RNAcentral lists this ribosomal RNA (503 nucleotides) under uncultured Sphingobacteriales bacterium. Its description in RNAcentral is "bacterial SSU rRNA". It matches the Rfam family "Bacterial small subunit ribosomal RNA", at positions 903 to 1382 of the family's 1533-position model. Lineage: Bacteria; Pseudomonadati; Bacteroidota; Sphingobacteriia; Sphingobacteriales. The record is from RNAcentral.
CGCCUUGCCAGCCCGCUCAGAACUUAAAGGAAUUGACGGGGCCCGCACAAGCGGAGGAGCAUGUGGUUUAAUUCGAUGAUACGCGAGGAACCUUACCUGGGCUCGAACGUAAGAUGACUGUAGGUGAAAGCUUACAUCUCUUCGGAGCAUUUUACGAGGUGCUGCAUGGUUGUCGUCAGCUCGUGCCGUGAGGUGUCGGGUUAAGUCCCAUAACGAGCGCAACCCCUACCUUUAGUUGCCAUCAGGUAAUGCUGGGGACUCUAAAGGAACUGCCUACGCAAGUAGUGAGGAAGGCGGGGAUGACGUCAAAUCAGCACGGCCCUUACGUCCAGGGCUACACACGUGCUACAAUGGCCGAUACAGAGGGCAGCUACCUGGUGACAGGAUGCAAAUCUCCAAAGUCGGUCUCAGUUCGGAUCGGAGUCUGCAACCCGACUCCGUGAAGUUGGAUUCGCUAGUAAUCGCGCAUCAGCCAUGGCGCGGUGAAUACGUUCCCGGGCCUU